This 73-nucleotide transfer RNA is filed under the name Camelus bactrianus (Bactrian camel). It matches the Rfam family "tRNA". Rfam says of the family: Transfer RNA (tRNA) molecules are approximately 80 nucleotides in length. Their secondary structure includes four short double-helical elements and three loops (D, anti-codon, and T loops). Lineage: Eukaryota; Metazoa; Chordata; Mammalia; Artiodactyla; Camelidae. The record is from Rfam by way of RNAcentral. RNAcentral also lists the same sequence under 2 other names.
GAGGGUGUAGCUCAAAUGGUAAGGUGCGUGCUUAGCAUGCAUGAAGUCCUGGGUUCAAUCCCCAGUACCUCCA